GUCUUCUUGGUUAUAUAAGAAGUCUGACCUGCCCGGUGAAUAAGUAUUUAACGGCCGCGGUAUUUUGACCGUGCAAAGGUAGCAUAAUCAUUAGUCUUUUAAUAGAGGGCUGGAAUGAAGGGUUUGACGAAAUGCUUACUGUCUCAUUUAAUUUGAAAUUUGAAAUUGACUUUUUAGUUAAAAGGCUAAAUUGUUAUUGAAAGACGAGAAGACCCUAUAGAGCUUUAUAUUUUAAAAUUUGAAGAAUUUUUGCUUAAUUAUUAUUUUUUAAAUGGAAAACUAUUUUGUUGGGGUGACAAAAAUAUAUAAUAAACUUUUUUAUUACAUUAACAUUGAUAUAUGAAUAUUAGAUCCAUUAUUAUUGAUUGUUAGAGAAAGUUACCUUAGGGAUAACAGCGUAAUCUUCCUUCAGAGUUCAAAUUUACAGGAAGGCUUGCGACCUCGAUGUUGGAUUAAGAUAAUAAUUAGGUGCAGCUGCUUAAUUAAUAGGUCUGUUCGACCUUUAAUUUCUU
RNAcentral lists this ribosomal RNA (512 nucleotides) under Chlorogomphus brevistigma. RNAcentral describes it as "partial 16S ribosomal RNA". It matches the Rfam family "Bacterial large subunit ribosomal RNA", at positions 1819 to 2597 of the family's 2925-position model. Lineage: Eukaryota; Metazoa; Arthropoda; Insecta; Odonata; Chlorogomphidae. The record is from RNAcentral.